GUAGGUGAACCUGCGGAAGGAUCAUUAACACGUAUCCAAACGUUUUGAAAAAAAAAAAAGAAAAAAAAAAGAAAAAACCCCCCCUGUGAACAUUUGCUUGCUCUUGCAGCCCGCCUGGAUAGCAAUCCCUGGUAAAUCAUCGCUGAACUGGAGUUGAUUCAGGGACCUUUGUUUGGGUGAGAAGUUACAGCUGCAAUCGAGAGAUCGUCGUUUGGUUGAGCCUGCUCCGUAAAGUCCCCCGCGUGCAUUGGAAAGUGGCAUUGGGGUGUAUGUACUGGAGAAACCCCUCUGGAUGAUAGAAGGCCAUCACGGCCUGUCACCGCUGCCUUCCGGGUGAACGUGCCCCCCAGGAUGUCCCCGCUACCAGUCGAAACGACCAACCUGUGCAACCAUUGCGUGUUGAGCCCAUGGGCGUCGUAAACCGAAAUACUUUGAACAACUGUUAACAAUGGAUAUCUUGGUUCUC
This 466-nucleotide unclassified non-coding RNA is filed under the name rhizosphere metagenome. Its description in RNAcentral is "partial ribosomal RNA internal transcribed spacer region". The record is from RNAcentral.